This 535-nucleotide ribosomal RNA is filed under the name uncultured Prevotella sp. RNAcentral's name for it is "bacterial SSU rRNA". It matches the Rfam family "Bacterial small subunit ribosomal RNA", at positions 342 to 878 of the family's 1533-position model. Lineage: Bacteria; Pseudomonadati; Bacteroidota; Bacteroidia; Bacteroidales; Prevotellaceae. The record is from RNAcentral.
CGGGAGGCAGCAGUGAGGAAUAUUGGUCAAUGGACGGAAGUCUGAACCAGCCAAGUAGCGUGCAGGAUGACGGCCCUAUGGGUUGUAAACUGCUUUUGUAUGGGGAUAAAGUUAGGGACGUGUCCCUAUUUGCAGGUACCAUACGAAUAAGGACCGGCUAAUUCCGUGCCAGCAGCCGCGGUAAUACGGAAGGUCCAGGCGUUAUCCGGAUUUAUUGGGUUUAAAGGGAGCGUAGGCUGGAGAUUAAGUGUGUUGUGAAAUGUAGACGCUCAACGUCUGAAUUGCAGCGCAUACUGUUUUCCUUGAGUACGCACAACGUUGGCGGAAUUCGUCGUGUAGCGGUGAAAUGCUUAGAUAUGACGAAGAACUCCGAUUGCGAAGGCAGCUGACGGGAGCGCAACUGACGCUUAAGCUCGAAGGUGCGGGUAUCAAACAGGAUUAGAUACCCUGGUAGUCCGCACAGUAAACGAUGGAUGCCCGCUGUUGGUACCUGGUAUCAGCGGCUAAGCGAAAGCAUUAAGCAUCCCACCUGGGG